GGAACUAUAGCUCAGCGGUAGAGCGGUCGACUGCAGAUCGACAGGUCUCCGGUUCAAUCCCGGAUGGUUCCU
Molecule: transfer RNA, 72 nt
Filed under: Blyttiomyces helicus
Lineage: Eukaryota; Fungi; Chytridiomycota; Chytridiomycetes
Rfam family: tRNA
About the family: Transfer RNA (tRNA) molecules are approximately 80 nucleotides in length. Their secondary structure includes four short double-helical elements and three loops (D, anti-codon, and T loops).
Source: Rfam by way of RNAcentral